RNAcentral lists this small RNA (30 nucleotides) under Bombyx mori (domestic silkworm). RNAcentral describes it as "ovarian small RNA-18652". Lineage: Eukaryota; Metazoa; Arthropoda; Insecta; Lepidoptera; Bombycidae. The record is from RNAcentral.
UAACAUCGUAUAAUAAAAAUCAAAACCCGC